UACGGGGGGAGCAAGCGUUGUUCGGAUUUACUGGGCGUAAAAGGCGCGUAGGCGGCCAGCACAAGUCAGCUGUGAAAUCUCCGAGCUUAACUCGGAACGGUCAACUGAUACUGUGCGGCUAGAGUGCGGAAGGGGCAACUGGAAUUCUUGGUGUAGCGGUGAAAUGCGUAGAUAUCAAGAGGAACACCUGCGGCGAAGGCGGGUUGCUGGGCCGACACUGACGCUGAGGCGCGAAAGCCAGGGGAGCGAACGGG
Molecule: ribosomal RNA, 254 nt
Filed under: uncultured bacterium
Lineage: Bacteria
Description: partial 16S ribosomal RNA
Rfam family: Bacterial small subunit ribosomal RNA
Source: RNAcentral